AUUAACAAUUUGGCAUGAUGUCACCUAAAUAAUAACAGUCACCAAUCGCUCAGUAUUAUGGCGCCCGACAGUUUGUAUAAAACAAAAUCUAACACUUAGCAAGCAUUCAAAAAUAUUUUGGCUUAGUUUCAAUUUCAAUCCUACACGACAUGACAGUUCGCAAAAUGCUCGGUCGGCAGUUUAUAGAUAUCUUUUCUUGCAAUUGGAGAUUGACAUGGUUGAACGUACAUACCUCAGAUGUUACCUAAAUACGUUCAUCGAAUUCGAAGAUAUUUUCUCAGAUUCUGUUUCGUGAUUCAUUGAGAACACGACCCGACAUUUUUUCUUUCCCAGAUAAUAUAUUUAUGUUUUUUGGUUCGCAAAUUUCGGUCUUGCUGAUCCACUUCCUUUCUGACAUCCAGUCAAAAAUUCAGGUCAGGCUUGUGUAUUAACUCGAAGAAAUGAUUUUUCACUUUUCCUGGGUGUCUGCAUGUCUAUUUGACAUUGGUGGAGCGGAAAAGCUUCAGCUGCAGAGUAAACAACAACGGCUCCCACUGAAUUACCAAGCGUAAAAAUUAUAUAAAUGCCUGCUGAGUUUAUGAGGUAGGUGUUUUCCGUUUCGCCCAAGCGUAUGUGCUCAUCAGUAAUCAAUCGGUUGUAAAUGCAUAAGUUUAUACCUCAUUGAAA
Long non-coding RNA from Hermetia illucens (black soldier fly), 666 nucleotides. RefSeq lists it as uncharacterized. Lineage: Eukaryota; Metazoa; Arthropoda; Insecta; Diptera; Stratiomyidae. The transcript has 2 exons. The record is from RefSeq and is a predicted model, not a curated record.